Molecule: small RNA, 433 nt
Filed under: Pan troglodytes (chimpanzee)
Lineage: Eukaryota; Metazoa; Chordata; Mammalia; Primates; Hominidae
Description: retained intron
Source: RNAcentral
GAGGGUCGUAACUCAGACAUUCCCACCACUUAUUCAAAGCACACUGGGUCACAGGUCCAGAGUCUUACACCAGCUCAAGAAGUCCUCCUGCUGCCUUCCCUUAACCCUUCCUUUGGAUCUGGGGGCCCUAGUUUCUAGCUCUUUGGGGGUGCUUGGGAUAGCAAGAGAGCCGGUGGGCAACAGCUGCUUCUCUCUCCCUAGGAGGCCACAUCAACAGUCAUGAUGUGUGGAUGUUUAGCUCCCAUCUGCACACCUGGAUCAAGGUAGCCUCUCUGCACAAGGGCAGGUGGAGGCACAAGAUGGCAGUUGUGCAGGGGCAGGUAGGCACGAGCUGCAGCGGCUGCCCUGGGACACAAGCUGUUCGCGGUGGGUGGCUUCGACGGCCUGAGGCGCCUGCACAGCGUGGAGCGCUACGACCCCUUCUCCAACACCU